GCUUCUAUUACGACAUAUAAGAUAAAGUGUAAUCAUUGUUCACCUGUGGUAUAACAGGACUCUCUUUUGAAGGAAUUGGUCUCAACUUGCUCCAAUCAAAGAGGAUAUGAUGUGUUCAAACAUCUUAGUUAGGAGUGGUAGUGCUCACUGAUCUCUGACGACAUAGUUUCCGUACGAAAGUUGAUUUCCUCCAAAUUUAUGCAGGCUACAAUGUCUUAGUUCAGC
This 225-nucleotide long non-coding RNA is filed under the name Medicago truncatula (barrel medic). RNAcentral's name for it is "long non-coding RNA (MTRU_LNC001037)". The record is from RNAcentral. Lineage: Eukaryota; Viridiplantae; Streptophyta; Magnoliopsida; Fabales; Fabaceae.